RNAcentral lists this ribosomal RNA (1119 nucleotides) under uncultured bacterium. RNAcentral's name for it is "bacterial SSU rRNA". It matches the Rfam family "Bacterial small subunit ribosomal RNA", at positions 353 to 1482 of the family's 1533-position model. The record is from RNAcentral.
AGUGAGGAAUAUUGGUCAAUGGGCGCAAGCCUGAACCAGCCAUCCCGCGUGCAGGAAGACGGCCCUAUGGGUUGUAAACUGCUUUUCCAGGGGGAGAAUUUUUCUGUCGUGACAGGAAUUGACGGUACCCUGGGAAUAAGCAUCGGCUAACUCCGUGCCAGCAGCCGCGGUAAUACGGAGGAUGCGAGCGUUAUCCGGAUUUAUUGGGUUUAAAGGGUGCGUAGGCGGAUUGAUAAGUCAGUGGUGAAAACCUGCAGCUUAACUGUAGACUUGCCGUUGAUACUGUCAGUCUUGAGUGUGGUCAAGGUAGGCGGAAUGUGUAAUGUAGCGGUGAAAUGCUUAGAUAUUACACAGAACACCGAUUGCGAAGGCAGCUUACUGGGCCAUUACUGACGCUGAUGCACGAAAGCGUGGGGAUCGAACAGGAUUAGAUACCCUGGUAGUCCACGCCGUAAACGAUGAUCACUCGCUGUUAGCGAUACACAGUUAGCGGCUAAGCAAAAGCAUUAAGUGAUCCACCUGGGGAGUACGGCCGCAAGGCUGAAACUCAAAGGAAUUGACGGGGGCCCGCACAAGCGGAGGAACAUGUGGUUUAAUUCGAUGAUACGCGAGGAACCUUACCUGGGCUUAAAUGUAGAGUGCAUUCAGCUGAAAGGCUGAUUUCCUUCGGGACUUUCUGCAAGGUGCUGCAUGGUUGUCGUCAGCUCGUGCCGUGAGGUGUCGGGUUAAGUCCCAUAACGAGCGCAACCCUUAUCGUUAGUUGCCAGCGGGUAAUGCCGGGAACUCUAACGAAACUGCCGGUGUAAACCGAGAGGAAGGUGGGGAUGACGUCAAAUCAGCACGGCCCUUAUGUCCAGGGCUACACACGUGUUACAAUGGCCGGUACAGAGGGCAGCUAUGCCGCGAGGCAAUGCGAAUCUCGAAAGCCGGUCUCAGUUCGGAUCGGAGUCUGCAACUCGACUCCGUGAAGCUGGAUUCGCUAGUAAUCGCGCAUCAGCCAUGGCGCGGUGAAUACGUUCCCGGGCCUUGUACACACCGCCCGUCAAGCCAUGGAAGUUGGGGGUACCUGAAGUCCGUAACCGCAAGGAGCGGCCUAGGGUAAAACCAGUGACUGGGGCU